This 323-nucleotide ribosomal RNA is filed under the name uncultured eukaryote. RNAcentral's name for it is "partial 18S ribosomal RNA". It matches the Rfam family "Eukaryotic small subunit ribosomal RNA", at positions 1470 to 1796 of the family's 1831-position model. The record is from RNAcentral.
CCCUUAGAUGUUCUGGGCCGCACGCGUGCUACACUGAACGGUUCAAUGGGUAAGGUAGUGCGAAAGCAUGACCUAAUCUCGAAAUCCGUUCGUGCUGGGGAUAGAAGCUUGCAAUUAUCCUUCUUGAACGAGGAAUACCUUGUAAGCGUGAGUCAUCAUCUCACGCUGAAUACGUCCCUGCCCUUUGUACACACCGCCCGUCGCUCCUACCGAUUGAGUGUUCCGGUGAGGCUUUGGGAGAACGGCCUCAACAUGAGUUUAUCGUGUUUUGCCGUUUGAACUUAGUCAAACCUUAUCACUUAGAGGAAGGAGAAGUCGUAACA